UGCUCGUGCUUCUCCUUCAGCCUUCUGCGUACCGAAGCUUGUGAUGCGUUGUUGUUGUGAUGCAGAUUGUUUAACAAAUUGGAUGUUGAUCACUUUCUGAAGCAGGUUCAAGAAUCGUUUGCGAUUGUGGCGAUGCCGUUUCGUGAAGCAAGUGAAGAUUGACGAUGGAGUUGCUUCGUGACUGCUGCAACUAUGAAUCGCGAUGGUCGAAGAUGCAGAUAAGGAGAAGAUGAUGAACGAGUUGCAGAAGAGAAGGAAAAAAUGAAGAUUUUGGUGAAGCUUCAAUUAUGGAGGAAGUGAAGAUGGUUUUGAAGAUGGUGAAUGAAGUGGCUCUGAAUUGAAGAUGGUGAAAAAUGGUUGAGAGGGAAGCGAUGAAGAAGAUUGAAGAUGGAAAAUGGAGAGAUGAAUGGCGUCGAAGAUGAUGAAAUGAUGGAGAAGGUUAGAGAAAGAGAUGAAGAAUGGGAGAGGAGCUUCUGAAUUGGAGGGAAGUCUGAUUUAUAGGAGUUGAAGGAGGUUGGAGAGUUGGUUGUGGAUGCAUCUCAGCCUUUGAUUGAAGAAGUUUGUUAUACAAUAGAUGGAGAAGAUUGAACCUGGUAGAGAGGUUAUUAACAACUGAAGAGAGUGGCUGUGGGUUUGCAAACUAUCUUGAACUGGUUUAUUGAAACGGGUUGGAACCGGCAGAUUUACGGUUACGAAGCGAAGUUGAACUUGACUUGAGGAGCAAGAGUGAUGGGAGGUGGUGAAGCUGGAGACUUGGAAACA
Long non-coding RNA from Vicia villosa (hairy vetch), 762 nucleotides. RefSeq lists it as uncharacterized. The transcript has 3 exons. Lineage: Eukaryota; Viridiplantae; Streptophyta; Magnoliopsida; Fabales; Fabaceae. The record is from RefSeq and is a predicted model, not a curated record.